Molecule: ribosomal RNA, 460 nt
Filed under: uncultured bacterium
Lineage: Bacteria
Description: partial 16S ribosomal RNA
Rfam family: Bacterial small subunit ribosomal RNA
Source: RNAcentral
CCUACGGGUGGCAGCAGUGAGGAAUAUUGGUCAAUGGGCGCGAGCCUGAACCAGCCAAGUAGCGUGAAGGACGACUGCCCUACGGGUUGUAAACUUCUUUUAUAAAGGAAUAAAGUGAGGCACGUGGGCCUGAUGGUAGGUACUUUAGGAAAAAGGAUCGGCCAACUCCGGGCCAGCAGCCGGGGUAAUACGGAGGAUCCGAGCGUUAUCCGGAUUUAUUGGGUUUAAAGGGGGCGGAGGUGGGUUGUUAAGUCAGUUGGGAAAGUUAGCGGCUAAACCGGAGAAUUGCAAUUGAUACUGGCUGUCUUGAGUACAGUUGAGGUAGGCGGAAUGCGUGGUGUAGCGGUGAAAUGCUUAGAUAUCACGAAGAACCCCGAUUGCGAAGGCAGCUUACUAACCUGUGACUGACGUUGAUGCACGAAAGUGUGGGUAUCAAACAGGAUUAGAUACCCGAGUAGUC